CUGGUGGCGGAGCCAGAAGCAGACAGACAGCGGGGUUUGCCACGGCCCUGUGGGUCAGAUCUGCUGCUCAUCACAGCUCACAGAGGCUGUGCGACCCAGAUGUCUGCGCCCCGGGACACCCACGAGCCUGCUCCAGUGCCUGCCACUCGGCGCGCCUAGCCUGGCCGCACAGCGAGCUCCCCAGGCGGCCUCCCGACUGAGCUGUGGUAAAAGAGACUGUUGACAACCGAAGCCCAGUGCGGAGGCGCUGCAAGAGCACACUGAACCAACAGUUCUUCCUAGCACCUGCUCCAUGGAUGAGCUGUCACCUGCCAAAUUUUCAGGACAGCUCAGGGCUUAGAAGAGGGCUCAUCUAAAUAAAGGCCGGCUAAAGUGA
Molecule: long non-coding RNA, 376 nt
Filed under: Cricetulus griseus (Chinese hamster)
Lineage: Eukaryota; Metazoa; Chordata; Mammalia; Rodentia; Cricetidae
Description: lncRNA (ENSCGRG00015040320.1)
Source: RNAcentral